This 72-nucleotide transfer RNA is filed under the name Camelus bactrianus (Bactrian camel). It matches the Rfam family "tRNA". Rfam says of the family: Transfer RNA (tRNA) molecules are approximately 80 nucleotides in length. Their secondary structure includes four short double-helical elements and three loops (D, anti-codon, and T loops). Lineage: Eukaryota; Metazoa; Chordata; Mammalia; Artiodactyla; Camelidae. The record is from Rfam by way of RNAcentral. RNAcentral also lists the same sequence under 1 other name.
GUGGGUAUAGCUCAGUGGUAGAGCAUGUUCUUACCAUGUACAAGGUCCUGGGUUCAAUCUCCAAUGCCUCCA